GUUUGGUUGUCACUGCUAUAGUCUCUGCUGUUUGUAAGUUCUCAUGAAUUUGUGAUGCUUUUAUGGCAGGUGCUAAAGCAAACAGAGAUUCCUGGGGACUGCACAGUUCAGCACCCUUGAAAGGAGAAAAGGGAGACAGAGGUGCUCCAGGACCACCAGGUCCACCUCUGCCUCCAUCAUAUUUCAGCCACUUUAUUAAUAGCAUAAAGGGUGAAAAAGGAGACAACGGAGUCACUGGUGUAAAAGGAGAAAAAGGAGAACCAAAUGGAGGGGGUUUUUUGACAGGACCUCCUGGACCACCUGGAAGACCAGGAUUAGUUGUAAGUCACACGAAUUGUAGAAUAGGAAUAUUUGUGAGUACCCAUUGUUUUAAUUUAGAAAGCACUAAAAAGAGACAAA
This 399-nucleotide long non-coding RNA is filed under the name Lepidothrix coronata (blue-crowned manakin). Its description in RNAcentral is "lncRNA (ENSLCOG00000011574.1)". Lineage: Eukaryota; Metazoa; Chordata; Aves; Passeriformes; Pipridae. The record is from RNAcentral.